This 549-nucleotide non-coding RNA is filed under the name Pan troglodytes (chimpanzee). The record is from RNAcentral. Lineage: Eukaryota; Metazoa; Chordata; Mammalia; Primates; Hominidae.
AGGAGCGUCUCCACCAGCAGCAGGCCAGCCCCUGAGGGAGACAGCAGAGAGCUGGAGUCCUGGCCAGCCAGGCGGGGAUCCUUCAGCCGGACACAGGAGACACAGCAGGCAACAGGAGCUCAGAACGCUCUCGGCGACCCUGCUGAGUAACUUGUGGACUUUGUCGUCUGGCCAGUCAUGCAGGAUCCGGCACAGGACGUACAGCUCAGCGCUGGGGAGGGGGUCCCUGAAAAAGUCACCUGGUUUAAAGACAAAAGGAGACACGUCCGUCAGGUGUCCUAAGAGACAGAAGAGGAGACAGACACAGAGGAGAAGGCCACAUGGAGACGGAGGCAGAGACUGGAGUGAUGCGGCCUCAAGCCCAGGGACGCCUGGAGCCCCCAGGAGCUGGGAGAGGCAGGAAGGAUCCUCCCCUAGAGUCUCAAGAAGGAACCAGACACAACUGCAGUGGGUUGGAUGUUGACGUCCAAAAGAUCUGUCCAUGUCCUAAGCCCCAGAACCUCGGAAUCGGACCUCAUUUGGAUAAAGUUUCUUUGCAUAUGUAAUUAA